CUUGGUCAUUUAGAGGAAGUAAAAGUCGUAACAAGGUAACCGUAGGUGAACCUGCGGUUGGAUCAUUACUGAUUUUGCCGAGGCAGGUCGAGUCUCUCGGGACUCCCUGCCGGAGCGAUACACCACUUGUGCACUAUAUCGUCUUUUGGGUUGGGGGCUGUUUGCUUGCAAGCAGUACCCGCCCAGCCGUAUAAACCACUUAAUCUUUUGUCUGAAAAUCUAGUAAUAGAAACAACUUUUGACAACGGAUCUCUUGGCUCUCGCAACGAUGAAGAACGCAGCGAAAUGCGAUACGUAAUGUGAAUUGCUUUCCGUGAAUCAUCGAAUCUUUGAACGCACAUUGCACUCUUUUAGAGUAUGCCUGUUUGAGAAUCUACAGUAUUAAUUCUGGGCUUGCUUUUUUUGAAGCAGGCCACGAGAUGGAGCUCCCUCGCAAGAGGGUGUUCUGAAAUAGAUUGCUGGUGUUUGUUGGGCUCGACGAAGUUUCCAAACCUGCAGAAAAGUAUUUGAAAACUCUGGUUUCAUGGUGCUGAAUAUGUGGGCGGCGACGGAGAGUCCAGGAGGCAUUGGUCCAUAACCAAAGUCGGUCCUAGGACUGGCUUGAACAUGGUCUCAAAUCGGGUAGGAAGACCCGCUGAACUUAAGCAUAUCAAUAAGCGGAGGA
This 664-nucleotide ribosomal RNA is filed under the name uncultured fungus. RNAcentral's name for it is "eukaryotic LSU rRNA". The stretch from base 234 to 375 matches the Rfam family "5.8S ribosomal RNA". The record is from RNAcentral. Lineage: Eukaryota; Fungi.